Molecule: non-coding RNA, 80 nt
Organism: Erigeron canadensis
Lineage: Eukaryota; Viridiplantae; Streptophyta; Magnoliopsida; Asterales; Asteraceae
Source: the annotation of a RefSeq genome assembly
GACGGUUUGGCCGAGUGGUCCAAGGCGUCAGAUUUAGGAUCUGCUUCGAACUGGCGUGGGUUCGAAUCCCACAACCGUCA